UUGGUGCCCUCCAGCUGCGCCACAGAGGCGGUGUCGAGCAGGAGGCGGCCCUGAAAUCGGGAAGCUGGGCGCUCCCGCCCCUCAACCAGCUGCAGAAAAAGCUUACACCUGCUCCUCCGGGCGACCUCAUGCUGAAGGACUGAACCCCGUAUCCUAGCCGCGUCACCACCCCCACCCUCUGGCCUGGGCUGCUCUGAGGGCGAGUCUGGGAUCUCCAGCUCGCCUGACCUCCCACCCCUCCCCUAGGGCAGCGCAGGGCUCAUUUUGCUCUGUGCCUCCAGGACUUGGUUCUGGUCGACCCAUACCUACUUGAUGGCCACCUCUGGCUGCACAAGGCUGCUCAGGGCAGGAGAGGCAAGAACCUGGACCACAGCUGCACUGAUCAAAUCCUUUAAGGAAGGGAGUGCUACAUGCCUGCCUGGUGAACCACUGUUAGGGAACGUGGGGGCUGCAGGUGGCUUAGCAGGUAAGCGUGCUGUCCCUAGGCAGCAGCUCACAGAUGGGGGGGCCCUCUUCCCGCCUCCACAAAGACAUCUGUAUGCAGGUCACCUCAGCUGGAUGACUGUUAACAGAGCCUGGAGGAAGCCUGGAGUUGGCAGGGGAAGACCAAGCACCAUUGAUACUUCUCUGCAGAGGCAAACACCUCUGCCUGAAGUUACCUCUAGUUCCGCCUUAUGCCCCAACGCUAACACCGGCCAGAAGAAAAUGAGCCGCAGAGAGAGGAGGUGAAGUCUCUUCCCUGGCUGGGUCAGAAGACUCUGUUUCCUUUUCCAUUUCAGAAAGACGACUGGAAAUCUGGAUGAAUAAAGAAGGAUGAAACAUGCAGAGACUCAAACUUAGACUAAGCAUAUAUUUUAAUUUCUACAAGGUCCCCCUUUCAAGUUUUAGGGAAAUUUAAAUGAAAUGUAUACAAAUUAGACACUACCAAUAUGUACAAAAGUAUUUUCUACAGUUUUUGAACAAUAUCAGCUAUAUCGUUUCAUUUGCAGUAAACAGGACGUUACAAAAACAGUCCAAUGAUGCAUUUUCUAUUAAGAAGCACAAAACACGAUGUAAUUCAACUUUAUUAAAAAAUAACUUAAAAUACAGAAUAAUCCCCUUUAGAAAGAAAAGCUAUUUCUGUAGUCCAUUCAGUAAACACACAAGUUAAAUGCUGCAGCUGAGGGCUGUUCUUUCCCAUGAAGAGAACAAACGAGGCUUCUAGGGCCCACCUUUUCAGGAUGAAAGUCUACCCACAGUACACAGCAAAGCUAUUGCCCGUGGGAGGCAGAAUUCUAAAAUGCCCCUCCUAUUUCAUGCCCCCAUCCCAGGAACCUGGGAAUAUGAUCUCACUUCUGUGAUUAUGAGAUGUUCUAUGGCACUGUUGACCUUAAUACAGGGAGACUGUCUCAGUGGGCCUGAUCUAGUCUCAGCAUGAACCUGAAACCAGAGAAGAAAGGCAGAGAGAUCUGAAGCACAAGAAGGCCUCGACAGGCCCUUGCUGGUUUGAAGACAGAGGGAACCCAUGAGGAACGUGAGCAGCCUUAAGGAGCCGAGAGAGGCCCCCGGCUGCAGCCAGCAAGGAACUGAAUACUGCCAACAACCUGAAUGAACUCGGAAGGAGAUUCUUCCCCAGAGCCUCUAUGAAGGAAUGCUGCCCUGCUGACCCUGGAUUUCAGCCUUGUGAGACCCUGAGCAGAGAAUCCAGCCACAUCGUGCCGGACUCAUGAGCUACAGAACCGUGAGCUAAGAAAUGGGUGUUGCUUUAAGCUGCUACAUUUGGGGUAAUUUGUUACAAAGCAAUAGAAAACUAAUACACUGCCAAAAGGUAACUUUUCUUAACGUAAUUAGAUUUGGCAGUUUUUGUUUGGGUUGUAAAUGCAGUUUCUUUCACUGAGUAUUGUUAAAGAUACUCUCCUCCAGAGGCAACUUUUAAAAACCCUUCAUAUAAACCACAUGUUGUUUUGUAUUCACUAUCAAGCAUGUUUGUUUGACUUAGGUCCUAUUUUCUAAUGCAUUUUCAUCUAUCAACUUGGCAAACAACUGGACCCCUUAACCCUGUUUAUGAACCUUUUAUGGGCAAUGGUUUUAAUACAUCCAAGGUCACCCCUCCAUCCAUCAGGGUGGUCAGAUCCCUCCAACUGAGGGCUCUUUCCCACUUCCCAAGUACCCUAGGCAAGCCCUGGGGUAGGAUGGCAGAGUUCUGCAUCAAACAUCCAAUAUGAAUUUCUUCUGCAUACCUGGAUUAAACUGGCACUGAGGUGAUUAAGUACACUUGGAGAAAAAAAUUCAAACUAAA
Molecule: non-coding RNA, 2278 nt
Organism: Vicugna pacos (alpaca)
Lineage: Eukaryota; Metazoa; Chordata; Mammalia; Artiodactyla; Camelidae
Source: RefSeq, a predicted model, not a curated record